AACUUUUGGCAACGGAUUUCUUGGCUCCCGCAACGAUGAAGAACGCAGCGAAAUGCGAUACGUAUCAUGAAUUGCAGAACUCUGAAUGAUAAAUGUUGAAUCACUA
Molecule: ribosomal RNA, 106 nt
Filed under: Synchytrium australe
Lineage: Eukaryota; Fungi; Chytridiomycota; Chytridiomycetes; Synchytriales; Synchytriaceae
Description: partial 5.8S ribosomal RNA
Rfam family: 5.8S ribosomal RNA
About the family: 5.8S ribosomal RNA (5.8S rRNA) is a component of the large subunit of the eukaryotic ribosome. It is transcribed by RNA polymerase I as part of the 45S precursor that also contains 18S and 28S rRNA.
Source: RNAcentral